GAUUAUGGCUCAGGACAACGCUGGCGGCGUGCCUAACACAUGCAAGUCGAGCGGAGACAGAUUGUGAAGCGGAAGUUUCGGAUGGAUGUGGAACGAUUUGUUUAGCGGCGGACGGGUGAGUAACGCGUGAGCAACCUGUCCUUCAACAGGGGGAUAACACAGCGAAAGUUGUACUAAUACCGCAUAAGACCACGGAGAGACAUCUCUCAGGGGUCAAAGGAGCAAUCCGGUGAAGGGUGGGCUCGCGUCCGAUUAGAUAGUAGGUGAGGUAACGGCCCACCUAGUCGACGAUCGGUAGCCGACCUGAGAGGGUGAUCGGCCACAUUGGGACUGAGACACGGCCCAAACUCCUACGGGAGGCAGCAGUGGGGAAUAUUGGGCAAUGGGGGAAACCCUGACCCAGCAACGCCGCGUGAGGGAAGAAGGUUUUCGGAUCGUAAACCUCUGUCCUUGGUGAAGAGGAAGAGACGGUAGCCAAGGAGGAAGCCCCGGCUAACUACGUGCCAGCAGCCGC
RNAcentral lists this ribosomal RNA (514 nucleotides) under uncultured bacterium. RNAcentral describes it as "bacterial SSU rRNA". It matches the Rfam family "Bacterial small subunit ribosomal RNA", at positions 15 to 518 of the family's 1533-position model. The record is from RNAcentral.